UACGUAGGCGGAAUAUUAAGUCAGUGGUGAAAUCCUGCGGCUCAACCGUAGAGCUGCCAUUGAUACUGAUAUUCUUGAAUGUAGUUGAGGUAGGCGGAAUGUGUAAUGUAGCGGUGAAAUGCUUAGAUAUUACACAGAACACCGAUUGCGAAGGCAGCUUACUAAACUAUGAUUGACGCUGAUGUACGAAAGCGUGGGGAGCGAACAGGAUUAGAUACCCUGGUAGUCC
RNAcentral lists this ribosomal RNA (229 nucleotides) under uncultured bacterium. Its description in RNAcentral is "partial 16S ribosomal RNA". It matches the Rfam family "Bacterial small subunit ribosomal RNA", at positions 568 to 796 of the family's 1533-position model. The record is from RNAcentral.